Molecule: non-coding RNA, 222 nt
Organism: Vicia faba (fava bean)
Lineage: Eukaryota; Viridiplantae; Streptophyta; Magnoliopsida; Fabales; Fabaceae
Source: the annotation of a GenBank genome assembly
AUGAUUCUUUUCACCGCAUAUGGCUUCCACGCGCAAAAACAAAUCAUCGACGAUAACCUGUCACUUCUGACGUCUACACAUGAAAGGUCCAACACAUCCAUAUUUUCGAAACUCCACGUCACCGGAACUGCGAAUCACUGCGCCGCCAACUCUGAGCAACCGCCGCCUUUCCGUGCCACCUCCCACAAUUGGAGUACAAGUAAAGAGAAGAAGAAGAAGUGA